Salvia miltiorrhiza (redroot sage) is the source of this 1596-nucleotide long non-coding RNA. RefSeq lists it as uncharacterized. The transcript is spliced from 6 exons. The record is from RefSeq and is a predicted model, not a curated record. NCBI's taxonomy places the organism in Eukaryota, Viridiplantae, Streptophyta, Magnoliopsida, Lamiales, Lamiaceae.
AACAAAAUGGGGAUGUGGGGACUCUUAUAUUAGGACUAUUUCGUGAUAAGUGUCCUAUUACUAUUCUAAUGGGACUUUCAGCCUUAAAAUGUCUUCGUAUGAAGCAUUCCAUUAUAAAUAACACAAUCAAUGACUACGACAUACACAAUACGUAGUCUAUUUGCAUAUUUUUUAAUUUUAAGAAAAAUUAAAAUAAUACUUCUGUGAGAGAGUUUAAGCAAGUUUUGCAUAAUUUUUAUUUUUAUCAAAAAAUUAACAGCAAUUUUUAUUUCUAUUAAUAAAAAUAUAAACGAAUUAUUUUAUAAGAAAUUAAAAGCAAUUUUCGCAUUUUUUGAUAAAUAAGAAAACUAUACUAUUUGUUUUUCCCAAAAGAACUAACAAAUCAAACUCACGCAAACUUGGAACCCCAAAUCAAAACCCCAAAUUUGGAACCCCAAAUCCAAUUCGCGGCAAGGAAAAUUGUAUCUUCAUUGGUGCCGGCGUUUCUACCGAGAUCGGUGGCCGCCGACAGAAGACAGGCAUCGUCAUCAUCCUCAUCUUCACCAUCUUCUUCUCCCAAAGCCAAUAAGAAAGUCACGGACAAUCGUCUCACUUCCGUGAUUGAUGCCGUCAAUGACCGCAAACUGCCGCCGGAGCUCCGCGGACAGCGCAACAACGUCAGGUAUAUAUCUAAGCUCCAUUCCUCAAGUGACUUGCCACAAGGUGAAAAGAUUGCUCUUUCAAAUUUGUUACUCGAAUGCAAACUCAAAUUUAGUUAUAUCAGAGAGAUUCUAGUUACUCGGGGCUGGAAAGUCCAUCGCUGAAAUAAAGAAAACCUUCAAGGUGCGGUUUGCAGGGUCAAGUAUUCCCCCCCCCAAGAAGAUGCCGUCUGUGGACGCGCCCUCCUCCAGAGACGUCUCUGUGAGCAAUGCCAGUGACAUUGAAUCGAAAUGGAUAGAGGUGGAUGAGCCUGGUGUAUACAUCACCAUCAAAUAGCUUCUUGAUGGCACUAGAGAGCUUCGCCAUGUCAGAUUCAGCCGUGAAAAAUUUGGAGAGGUGCAUGCCAGGCAUUGGUGGGAAACUAACAGGGACAGGAUACAAACUCAGUAUCUUUGCUAGAACCAAGAUAUAGAACGUGGAUCCUUGGUCAUGCAUGCUAUUGUUGCUGCCAUUACACUUUCAGAUCUUCAAGGUGAUCAACGAUGAUGAUGAUGAUGAUGAUGAUGUUUGAAGAAGAUUGAUAUGGUCUAGGAUUUGGUGAUAUACAACAAUGCAUUGCUUGGCCGUAUUCCAAUAGAAUGGGAUGAAGAACUAAUUAGGUCGUAUUCGAAUUUGUCUACAAUUGGAGACUCAAUCGGAACAUGCAUUGCUUGGCCUCGCCACUUGGUGAAAGCUAAUGACGAUUUGGAUUGAUGAGAAGUUGAAUAGCUUUAAAAGUGGAGCCUAGAGGUCCAUUCUAAAACAGUUGGUACCAAAGAGAACCUAUUCCAAAACAGUUGAUGUAAUAUUCACUAUGUAAUAAGCUUCUUUACUCAUGAUUGAGUUCCUUACCAGAAUAUUCCUUGGUGAUGUUUGAAAUUUCAAAUUUGAAAUAAAGCAUUGUUAUAUUGGGAUUAA